GACGAACGCUGGCGGCGUGCUUAACACAUGCAAGUCGAACGGAAAGGCCCUGCUUUUGUGGGGUGCUCGAGUGGCGAACGGGUGAGUAACACGUGAGUAACCUGCCCUUGACUUUGGGAUAACUUCAGGAAACUGGGGCUAAUACCGGAUAGGAGCUCCUGCUGCAUGGUGGGGGUUGGAAAGUUUCGGCGGUUGGGGAUGGACUCGCGGCUUAUCAGCUUGUUGGUGGGGUAGUGGCUUACCAAGGCUUUGACGGGUAGCCGGCCUGAGAGGGUGACCGGCAACAUUGGGACGGAGAUACGGCCCAGACCCCUACGGGGGGCAGCAGUGGGGAAUAUUGAACAAGGGGCGGAAGCCUGAUGCAGCAACGCCGCGUGCGGGAUGACGGCCUUCGGGUUGUAAACCGCUUUCGCCUGUGACGAAGCGUGAGUGACGGUAAUGGGUAAAGAAGCACCGGCUAACUACGU
RNAcentral lists this ribosomal RNA (467 nucleotides) under uncultured bacterium. RNAcentral's name for it is "partial 16S ribosomal RNA". It matches the Rfam family "Bacterial small subunit ribosomal RNA", at positions 28 to 506 of the family's 1533-position model. The record is from RNAcentral.